CCUACGGGUGGCAGCAGUGGGGAAUAUUGGGCAAUGGAGGAAACUCUGACCCAGCAACGCCGCGUGAAUGAUGACGGCCCUCGGAUUGUAAAGUUCCUUUCUAAGGGAAGAAGAAAGUGACGGUACCUUAGGAAUAAGCCUCGGCUAACUACGUGCCAGCAGCCGCGGUAAUACGUAGGAGGCGAGCGUUAUCCGGAAUGACGGGGUGUAAAGGGUGCGUAGGUGGUUUGGCAAGUUAGUAGCGUAACUCCAAGGCUCAACCUUGGAACGACUACUAAAACUGUUGUACUUGAGUGCAGGAAGGGCAGGCGGAAUGCCUAGUGUAGCGGUGGAAUGCGUAGAUAUCAGGAGGAACACCAGUGGCGAAGGCGGGUUGCUAGACUGUAACUGACACUGAGGCACGAAAGCGUGGGGAGCAAACAGGAUUAGAUACCCGAGUAGUC
RNAcentral lists this ribosomal RNA (443 nucleotides) under uncultured bacterium. RNAcentral describes it as "partial 16S ribosomal RNA". It matches the Rfam family "Bacterial small subunit ribosomal RNA", at positions 338 to 795 of the family's 1533-position model. The record is from RNAcentral.